This is an RNA transcript of Vespa velutina, 2474 nucleotides long. It is a transcript of the gene named sodium channel and clathrin linker 1-like, with no coding region annotated. NCBI's taxonomy places the organism in Eukaryota, Metazoa, Arthropoda, Insecta, Hymenoptera, Vespidae. The record is from RefSeq and is a predicted model, not a curated record. The transcript is spliced from 7 exons.
UGUUUACAAAAGCAGACGUCUGCGUUUUCGGAUAGACUUUUCGUUCCGAUUGUUUGGGUAUAGAAGCGAACGGGAUAAAAAAUAAUGCCUUUUUCCUAUUAAACAACGUUCGAAAACGUCGUUCGUUUUUAAGUCAUCGCACGAGUUAAUAUGAUCGAUUCGGAACUGGAAAAUAUAUCGAAAGACGGUAACCACGACAAAAAUACAAUUUUACAAGAGUAUGAUGAAGCAGUGGAAACUCUUAAAAAAGACUUAACUAUGUGCAAGACGGAACAAAACAAGAUCAGGUCUUUGCUGGAAGCUCUACAAAAUGAUAGCAGAGAUACUGGUGAUCUGAUUAAGGAUCAUUUCUCUCGCAUUCAUAUAGAAACUUGUAGCAGCGAGAGCAUACACAAUAAGGAGCUUAUAAUGAAUCUACAAGAACGCCUUGCUGUUUUACAAAUGGAAAAAGAUUCUGUCUUUCAAUUAUGGCAAAUAGCAUUGAAAACUGUGACUGCUCUGGAGGAUGAAUUAAGGUGUCUUAGAACCGAUGGUAAAAGUACCAAAUUAUACGAGGAGCAUAUCGAUAAUGUCAAAGAGACUUAUUCCGAGGCUAUCAAAGCAUUGGAGGGCAAGUUAUUACAAGCGAGGGAAAAUUUUUUGAAACAGCAAGCAUUGUGGGAAACUAGCAAGGAUAAAAUUGAGGACCUGCUUAAAGAAAAAGCUGAUAUUACAAGGAAACAUGAAGUUUAUCAAAAGGACACCCUGGAGAAAGAUAGGAACAAUAUGCGGAUAGUUGAAACGUUGAAAACCGAAUUAGCUGCUGCAAAAGCGGAUACCCAAAGGGCAAUGGAUUUAAAAGGAGAGUUGGAGAGUAAAUUGAACGAAGCUAUGAAAUUUACGGCAUCUUUGAUAGCCAGAAAUGAAGAAACAAAAAAUAAAAUGUCCGAGGCUUUGGAGUUGGUAGAAAUAGCGGUAAGAGAAAAGGAUCUUGUAUUACAAAGGGAAGCACAUGUAUUAGAGGAAAAAGGUAGGCUCGAGGUACGAUUGUCUAAAAUAACUGAAGAACAUACCGUCAUGUUACAAGAUGAGAUAACGAAAAUGAAAGAUGUUUAUGAAAGAAGCGGGAAAAAAUAUAUAUCCGAAAUCAAAGAGCUUAAAGCAGAGUUAAGACAAAGAACGAUGCUAUUGGAUAAUGCACAAAAAGAUUAUAGAGUUUCUCAGGAAGAACUUGAAAAGGUACGUCAGAAUUCUGAGGAUGUAUUACAAAAGUCGAGAACGAAAAUAUUGGAUUUUGAACAAAAAUUAGAUUGUGUGGAACGUCAACUUCGUGACAAUGACGAUACGCAGAGGAAGAAGUAUGACGCGGAGAUCAGGCAUUUAGAAUCUAAAGUAAUUGAAUUAGAAGAAAAGUUGAGCGCCGCUAAUGAUGAAUUAAGAAAAAUGCAACAAGAGAAUCGCGAUAGUAUGGAGCAUCAGGUAAAACAGGCUAAUGAAAAAACAAAAGACCUAAUAGAGCAGUGCAAUGAUUUAGAGAAACGUUUGGCUAGAUCUUUGGAAGAUAGAGACAAUUUUCAGACAGAAAUCAAACGCCUACAAAUGACUUGUGAUCGUGAAAUGCAAAAGCGAGAGUACGAGAGACAUAGUCUUGAAAAUAAAAUUCACGAUUUAGAGAUCAAUUUUCAAAAAGCAACUUAUUUGGCACAGGACGGUCCAUAUGCACUUGCGACUCAAGUAUAUACCAUGGAGAGGGAAACGAAGAAGCCCAGUUCACCCGUAACGAUAGAAACCAAGGAACAUUGUUGUCGACCGGUCCUAUUGGAGCAGAUGAAUAAAGCGCAGGAACGAUACGAUAGGAAGAUGAAGGAAUUGUCGCAUCAUGUGGAAGUUCAUCGGAAACUUAGUAGGAAGUUGUUCAAGGUGGAAGGAAGAAGCCAAGUCAAUGACAACGAAGUUUCAAGAAAAGACUAAGGAACACAGAGCCAAAAUAAAUGCCCUAAGAAAGGAGAACGAGGAAUUGAAUAAGCGAUUAUUUUCGUGUCAGCAAGAACUUACUAAACAUAAAGUACAAAGUGUUCCGAGAUGCAGCGAAGAAAAUAAAGUCAGGUGACAUUAUAAUGUCAUACUCGUAGGAUUAAUAUCACGUCAUCUUGGCUUCUGUAAAUAUCGCAUAAUACGGCGGAUUUGUCUAUUUUGGAAAUACAUGUUCAUACAGGAAAUAUAAACUAAAUCUUAAAUGUGAUUCCUACCUGAGAUGAAAUCUUUAAAAAAUAUUAUUCUUUGGACGCGAUACAGCCCGUAAACAGGCUAGGAAACCAAUACAAGGCUUCAUAUUCUCCUUGUUCGUCCAACCAAGCCAAUCCUUCCUUCACCAUGUGAUCCAAUGCUUUCUGAGCUCUCUCUCUUUCCCAUCUUAAUUCAUUUUCUAGCAUAGACCCUGAUACGUGCGCAUUUCCAGACAAGCUAGCUUGCUGCAGCACAGCGGUAUGAUCCAU